GUAGGUGGCAAGCGUUGUCCGGAAUUAUUGGGCGUAAAGCGCGCGCAGGCGGUUCUUUAAGUCUGAUGUGAAAGCCCACGGCUCAACCGUGGAGGGUCAUUGGAAACUGGAGAACUUGAGUACAGAAGAGGAAAGCGGAAUUCCACGUGUAGCGGUGAAAUGCGUAGAGAUGUGGAGGAACGCCAGUGGCGAAGGCGGCUUUCUGGUCUGUAACUGACGCUGAGGCGCGAAAGCGUGGGGAGCAAACAGGAUUAGAUACCCUGGUAGUCCACGCCGUAAAUGAUGAGUGCUAAGUGUUAGGGGGUUUCCGCCCCUUAGUGCUGCAGCUAACGCAUUAAGCACUCCGCCUGGGAGUACGGCCGCAAGGCUG
Molecule: ribosomal RNA, 370 nt
Filed under: uncultured organism
Description: partial 16S ribosomal RNA
Rfam family: Bacterial small subunit ribosomal RNA
Source: RNAcentral